RNAcentral lists this ribosomal RNA (491 nucleotides) under uncultured bacterium. Its description in RNAcentral is "partial 16S ribosomal RNA". It matches the Rfam family "Bacterial small subunit ribosomal RNA", at positions 28 to 505 of the family's 1533-position model. The record is from RNAcentral.
GACGAACGCUGGCGGUGUGCUUAACACAUGCAAGUGGUGCGACGAACCAGAGCUUGCUCUGGGGCAAAGCCGCGAACGGGUGAGUAACACGUGGGUAAUCUACCCCGAUGACCGGGACAACCCGAGGAAACUCGGGCUAAUACCGGAUGUGGUGCGGAGACAUAAGUCUCUUCACUAAAGGUAGCUUCGGCUUCCGCAUUGGGAGGGGCCCGCGGCCCAUUAGCUUGUUGGUGGGGUCAAGGCCUACCAAGGCAACGAUGGGUAGCUGGUCUGAGAGGACGAUCAGCCACACUGGGACUGAGACACGGCCCAGACUCCUACGGGAGGCAGCAGUGGGGAAUCUCGCGCAAUGCGCGAAAGCGUGACGCAGCAACACCGCGUGAGGGAAGAAGGCCUUAGGGUUGUAAACCUCUUUCAGAUGGGACGAAGGUUCUCCGGUGAAUAGCCGAGAGGAUUGACGGUACCGUCAGAAGAAGCUCCGGCUAACUACG